AUCCCGGAAUAACCGGUGAAGACGGCUCCCCGGAACCCCCGCCCCUAGCGGGCUCUCCCGGACCCCCGGCCCGCGCUGGUCUUUGCCAGGACCCCCCUCCCGCGCAAAGGAUCAAGUCCCAGCUUCCCUUUCCCCCCCGAGAGUCUCCAGCGCCAACCGCCGGCCGUCGGGCGGGUCCCUAACCCGCAGUUACUCAGCUACCUCUCUGGUGGAGGAGGUGUCAGCGACUUGAGAAUAAGUGCGCCAAAGAAGACAGAGCCACGCCUGAGCCUCCUUCAGCAAAGCCUGCACUUCCUGUUCUCUUCUCAAGCGUGCUGUCAGCAGAUCUUGACUGAAACCUCUGUGCCCUACACUGUCCUUGGCACCAGACGCAGGGGAAAGGAUCAGGCCCAGUCCCUCCUCUGACUGACAGUGCUAAACCAGCUACCUGUUCUGAGCAAGCCCUUUGAAGACUGGGAACACGGAUUUGCCCAACAGCUGCCUGGCUUAAGGGUUAGGCUGUUGAUAUAAAAAUACAUGGCUAACGUAACCUA
This is a long non-coding RNA of Symphalangus syndactylus (siamang), 533 nucleotides long. RefSeq lists it as uncharacterized. The record is from RefSeq and is a predicted model, not a curated record. Lineage: Eukaryota; Metazoa; Chordata; Mammalia; Primates; Hylobatidae.